GUAGGUGAACCUGCGGAAGGAUCAUUAGAGAAUUCAGUACGUCCUUUAUUGGAGUACGCUUUUUCCACAUUCCAUCACACCGUGAACUGUAAUACCCUUUAUUAAAACUCUAUAACUAGUUGAAGAAUGUAACCCUUUCAUAGAAAGAAAUAAAACUUUUAACAACGGAUCUCUUGGCUCUCGCAUCGAUGAAGAACGCAGCAUCUGACUGACUACUCCGAGG
This 223-nucleotide unclassified non-coding RNA is filed under the name plant metagenome. RNAcentral's name for it is "partial contains small subunit ribosomal RNA, internal transcribed spacer 1, and 5.8S ribosomal RNA". The stretch from base 154 to 223 matches the Rfam family "5.8S ribosomal RNA", at positions 1 to 53 of the family's 154-position model. The record is from RNAcentral.